GCUGGUUUUCUACGAAACAUAUUUAAGUAUGACAUCUAUACAAAAUUUAUGGUGGUACAGCACUGAAUUCCCAACAAAGAUUAUGACAGUGAAUAAACAAAAUAUUUUUAUAUAAGUUUAUUAACUUCUAAUACUAAAGUUUAGGUUGAGGGGACCUCGAAAAUCUUACCAAUGGAAGAGAAACUCGAAAUGACAUAAAUUGAUGAUAGAUAUUCAGACUGCUCAUGAGAAAGUUGAGUAGUCAAGACGGAAACAGCCGAGAACACGAAUACAAGGUCCCAAAUGAUUAUUAAGUGAAAUUAAGGAAAUGACAUAUUGAAUGCAGCUGUAAAGUGAGCUUGGAAGUAGCUAUCUUUUAAUGACCGUAAUGAACAACGUAGCAGCCCUUAGAAUGUUGUGCCUAAAAUUUAACGGGUCUAAAUAAUCAACCGAUAUCGUGUUUAUUUUGAAUACAUAAAAAAUAUUUUUAUUCAGAAUAUAGGUAGUAGAACAUUCAGUAAAACUUAAAAUAAAACAGUGUUUCAUUGUUUUUAGGUAACUGAAGAGAUAAUGCUGACAUGAGUAACGUAAAAAGAAGUUAUAAUACUUCUCGCCGAAUACGAAAGGGUUAUAAGGAAAGGUUAUACCGCCUUAUGUUAUUGCGGCCUCUAAGGACCAAAACCAAAGUUUUGGCUGAUGAGUAGAUAACUGGAAGUCCAUAUGUAAAUUAAUGGACCAGGAAAAUUAAGUUUUUAUAAUUUAAUUUAUUUUUAUAAUUUUUUAUAAAUAAAAUUAAUUUAGUCUACCGUACCCUAAACCGACACAGGUUCGUAGGUAGAGAAUACUAAGGCGUAGAGCUAAAAGUUGUUAAGGAACUCGGCAAAUUAUCCUC
This 871-nucleotide ribosomal RNA is filed under the name Taiwanofungus camphoratus. Its description in RNAcentral is "partial large subunit ribosomal RNA". It matches the Rfam family "Bacterial large subunit ribosomal RNA", at positions 848 to 1729 of the family's 2925-position model. The record is from RNAcentral. Lineage: Eukaryota; Fungi; Basidiomycota; Agaricomycetes; Polyporales; Taiwanofungaceae.